This 99-nucleotide signal recognition particle RNA is filed under the name Synergistaceae bacterium. Its description in RNAcentral is "signal recognition particle sRNA small type". It matches the Rfam family "Bacterial small signal recognition particle RNA". From Rfam's summary of the family: The signal recognition particle (SRP) is a universally conserved ribonucleoprotein involved in the co-translational targeting of proteins to membranes. Archaeal SRP consists of a 7S RNA and homologues of the eukaryotic SRP19 and SRP54 proteins. In most bacteria, the SRP consists of a 4.5S RNA and the Ffh protein (a homologue of the eukaryotic SRP54 protein). The record is from RNAcentral. Lineage: Bacteria; Thermotogati; Synergistota; Synergistia; Synergistales; Synergistaceae.
AACCCAGCCCCGUGCGGCGAAGGCCCGCAAACCCCGCCAGGGCCGGAAGGAAGCAACGGUAAGCGGAUCCCAUCGGGUGCCACGGCAAGUUGGGUUUCC